AGUGAACGCUGGCGGUAGGCCUAACACAUGCAAGUCGAACGGCAGCACAGUAAGAGCUUGCUCUUACGGGUGGCGAGUGGCGGACGGGUGAGGAAUACAUCGGAAUCUACUUUUUCGUGGGGGAUAACGUAGGGAAACUUACGCUAAUACCGCAUACGACCUACGGGUGAAAGCAGGGGAUCUUCGGACCUUGCGCGAUUGAAUGAGCCGAUGUCGGAUUAGCUAGUUGGCGGGGUAAAGGCCCACCAAGGCGACGAUCCGUAGCUGGUCUGAGAGGGUGAUCCGCCACACUGGAACUGAGGCACGGUCCAGACACCUACGGGAGGCAGCAGUGGGGAAUAUUGGACAAUGGGCGCAAGCCUGAUCCAGCCAUACCGCGUGGGUGAAGAAGGCCUUCGGGUUGUAAAGCCCUUUUGUUGGGAAAGAAAAGCAGCAGGUUAAUACCCCGCUGUUCUGACGGUACCCAAAGAAUAAGCACCGGCUAACUUCGUG
This 492-nucleotide ribosomal RNA is filed under the name uncultured bacterium. RNAcentral's name for it is "partial 16S ribosomal RNA". It matches the Rfam family "Bacterial small subunit ribosomal RNA", at positions 29 to 507 of the family's 1533-position model. The record is from RNAcentral.